ACAGUACAUCGGUCUAUCGCGGAGUAAGGGAAGAAAUUUACUUAUAACUAUCUUAUAGUUCAUAACUAAAUUAAUCCCCUACGACGAGGAAAGUCCGGGCAGCAUAGAGCAACACAGCGGUUAAUGGCCGUCAGGCAGUAAUGUUUGGUCACUGGUACAGAGACGAGUCGCCAUCAGGCGGGUGAAACGACUACACUGUGCGCUGCAAUUCCAAGUAUACCAAUGUUUGAGCGCUGCUCGCGUGAGUUGGAGGGUAGGAAGCAAUAGAAGGGCGCAGCAAUGCGCACCUCAAGAUUAAUGAUAGACGCCACUUUGGAGCACUAGAACCUUGAAACUUUUAGAACCUUGGUACUUUCAACUCCCUUUUGUGGUACAGAACCCGGCUUAUAGAUGUGCUGUUUUU
RNAcentral lists this RNase P RNA (403 nucleotides) under Paludibacteraceae bacterium. RNAcentral's name for it is "RNase P RNA component class A". It matches the Rfam family "Bacterial RNase P class A". From Rfam's summary of the family: Ribonuclease P (RNase P) is a ubiquitous endoribonuclease, found in archaea, bacteria and eukarya as well as chloroplasts and mitochondria. Its best characterised activity is the generation of mature 5'-ends of tRNAs by cleaving the 5'-leader elements of precursor-tRNAs. Lineage: Bacteria; Pseudomonadati; Bacteroidota; Bacteroidia; Bacteroidales; Paludibacteraceae. The record is from RNAcentral.